This 886-nucleotide ribosomal RNA is filed under the name uncultured bacterium. Its description in RNAcentral is "bacterial SSU rRNA". It matches the Rfam family "Bacterial small subunit ribosomal RNA", at positions 21 to 906 of the family's 1533-position model. The record is from RNAcentral.
GGCUCAGGAUGAACGCCAGCGGCAGGCCUAAUACAUGCAAGUCGAGGGGCAGCGGGUGUAGCAGUACAUGCCGGCGACCGGCGCACGGGUGCGUAACACGUAUGCAAUCUACCUAUAUCAGGGGGAUAGCUCGGAGAAAUCCGAAUUAAUACCCCAUAAUACUCGAAAAGGCAUCUUUUUGAGUUGAAAGCUCCGGCGGAUAUGGAUGAGCAUGCGACUGAUUAGUUAGUUGGUGAGGUAACGGCUCACCAAGACUGCGAUCAGUAGGGGAUCUGAGAGGACUACCCCCCACACUGGUACUGAGACACGGACCAGACUCCUACGGGAGGCAGCAGUAAGGAAUAUUGGACAAUGCCCGCAAGGGUGAUCCAGCCAUGCCGCGUGCAGGAAGAAGGACCUAUGGUUUGUAAACUGCUUUUGAACAAGAGAAAACCCUCCUACGUGUAGGAGGCUGAUAGUAUUGUUAGAAUAAGCAUCGGCUAACUUCGUGCCAGCAGCCGCGGUAAGACGAAGGAUGCAAGCGUUAUCCGGAUUCAUUGGGUUUAAAGGGUGCGUAGGCGGCCUGGUAAGUCAGUGGUGAAAUCUCCUCGCUUAACGAGGAAACUGCCAUUGAUACUGCUAGGCUUGAGUACAGAUGCUGUGGGCGGAAUAUGACAUGUAGUGGUGAAAUACUUAGAGAUGUCAUAGAACACCGAUUGCGAAGGCAGCUCACAAAACUGUAACUGACGCUGAGGCACGAAAGUGCGGGGAUCAAACAGGAUUAGAUACCCUGGUAGUCCGCACUGUAAACGAUGAUUACUCGCUGUUGGGCAGCAAUGUCCAGUGGCUUAGCGAAAGCGAUAAGUAAUCCACCUGGGGAGUACGCGGGCAACGGUGAAACUCAAAG